AACCUAGGCCAUACCACCUUGAAAUGCCCUAUCUCAUCUGAUCUUGGAAGCUAAGCAGUCAGGCCUGGUUAAUACUGCAUGGGAAAACCCAUAUCAGAAAAACCAGGCCCAUGAAUUU
Molecule: ribosomal RNA, 118 nt
Filed under: Castor canadensis (American beaver)
Lineage: Eukaryota; Metazoa; Chordata; Mammalia; Rodentia; Castoridae
Source: RNAcentral